Molecule: long non-coding RNA, 5438 nt
Organism: Carassius auratus (goldfish)
Lineage: Eukaryota; Metazoa; Chordata; Actinopteri; Cypriniformes; Cyprinidae
Exons: 3
Source: RefSeq, a predicted model, not a curated record
UGACAUCAUUUUCAUUUUUGGGUAAACUAACCCUUUAAUGAAAAUCCUGGCAGUUGGUUUUAUAGAUAGUUCGCUCAUAGUUGACCAGGAAAAGCACAUGAGAAAUCACAUGAGAAAUCAAGAUAAAUAAAACACAACACAAAAUAUAGCCAAUGUUCUUUCUUAGCCGAGGUGAAUAUCUGUUGUAUUUGUCAUAACAUCGCACAUCUGUCAACUUUUAUUCUGUUUGACAACUGGAGUUAUGUUCCAGAGAUAUUCAACUCCGUGAAGAAAGUACACUUUUUGUGCAUUUCUAGUCCUUUUAUUUCAUGUUGCAUUUUGAUUAAUCUUGUUUUCACAACUUGUUAGUUUUUCCUGGGUAAGUUAGAUUGAACUUGGUGUUAAUAGUAUCUUGUUAAGAUGGAGUCAUGCACAGGAACCAACAGUCAAGGUCAGGAUUUUUGCAAAAUAAUACUUUAAAUGUAAUUUUUAUUAUUUAUUCAUUUAUUUAUUGUUACAAACUCUAUCAUAUAGCGUACCUCCAGAACAUUUGGAAUGUACAACAAGUGUUGUAUGGGACCAUUCUGUGAUACUUUUGCAUUUUUUUAAAAAGCUUAUAUGCACAAGUGUGAGCAGGACAUAAAAAAAAUAAAUAAAAAAAACUCUUUUGUGACCCGAAAAAGAAAGAAUGGCAUACUAAAUUAGAACAUCUCCAGGGUGAGUAAAUUAUGUUUUAAUUUGAAUUUUUUGGUCACUAUCCUUUAAGGAUUUGAAGGGAUUAAUGAUUUCACCUACUCCGUUUGCUUUGCUGGUUUCCGUUUGUGUCAUCAGGGGCAAAUGUGCGAAUGGCUUAAGCUCACGUCUCACAGUAUUUUUUUUUUAGUCAGUGUUUGUAAAACAAAGAGGGGAAAAUAGAAAACAAAACAUUCCGAAUCCCAGCAUGCGUCCAGAUUUUAAAAAAAAGAAUGAUGUAUUUGUCAGGACAAUCUUUUCAUGACUAAUCAUCUUGGGACUACUUGGGAGUCAUAGGAAACGCAUCACCAGGAUCUAGUCAGAUCUAGUCAGGAUCUUGUCCUAAAGUGGGUCUGGCUCUAUCCAGAUCUUUCCUUUGGGUCUUUGUUUAGAAGUAUGCUGAAAGCCACGAAGAAAAUUAGUAGUAUUUUUUUUUAAAGAUAAUUUGUGAUAUUGCCAGAAUAUUUGUGUACUGAUUUAAUGGAAACAUUUAGACUUGUUUUGACUAAUAAAUAUGAAAAGGAAAUGUAUGACAGUGUACAGUGCACACAGGACCUCUGUGAGCUACGUGGCCCCUUGAAUUGAUUAGUAUCUGCAGUUCCUGGCAGAGGGCAGGCAAAGCAUAAUGAAACAAAAGACCAGGGAGCUGAGCCAUACUCUGAGAGCUUUGUUAUUUCCUGCUGUCUCUGUUCAUCUCGGCUACCAAAGGAAAACCUGUUAACAAAGGACCCAUACCAGUCCCACAAAUUCAAAACCAGCCAAUGAGGACCCAGGAAUUAACAAGAUAGAGAUGCACACAAACAAAAAAGUACUUUGGCUCUGCAGCUCGAGUGCUCCGGAUUGUCUGGCGAGCCUGUAAUGUCUCAUUCUCACUGGGGUACCAACUUGGUUAACAUCAUUCAGACAGAACAGGAAAAAUUGAUGACUUCUACCCAGACAAUUCCUGGUUAUUCAAGUUUCUGGCAGAGUGCAGGUAAUUAAGGGUCUGAGCUAGAUAUAAAGGUUACAGAUCCCAGGUUUGGACCACAUGUGGAUUGGUGGGAAAUCACAAGGGGUUGGAGGGUCUCACCCUGCUAAUUAAGUCCUCCAAAUGAAUGGGGUUGGGGGUCAAAAAAUUCUUAUACUGUACCUGUUUAAUUAUAUGUAUGUAAGGAACGUUUCAACAACAUUCUCAAAUGGUUUGGUAACCAUAAAUGUGUGUUUUUUUUUUAUACAUCAACUACUUAGUCAGACUAAGUCAUUUGCCUGACAUAGAAUAAAUGCUUGUCAGCUGCAUUCACAUAAGGAACUUUGACAAAACAUUGAUGCAUUUCUAUCAUGUUUUUAUAGAAAGAUAUAUUGCAAGUACAUCAGAAGCACAUUAGUCCAUCAAUCCAUCCAUUAUCUAAACAAACUGUCCUAUGUAAGGUUGCCUAUUCCAGCAUAUUGGGUUAUAGGCAAGGAAACGCUAUGGAUGACUGCCCUCUCCAUUUGUGUUUUGAAUGAAAUGUCUUUAAGAUAUCGGAUGCUUUGAAUAACUGGGGAUGCCAGGUGGGUUGUGUGGCAGUUGGUCUUUGUACCACAAUGUGUGAACAGCAUCACUACCAUGAUCUAUAUUUUAAAAUGCUAAACCCCAGGCCACUCUAAUGGUACUGUUUUUUGUGUAAUUUGAAAACCUUGAGUGACUUGAGAUAAAAAGCAUCCAUUAAAACCAAGGUAACCAUGACAUACUGCUUUACUGUAUAUGUACACUUCUGUUGAAGACUGUUUGCUCCCUCAUCUCUGUAAAUGUAUUCCCCUUGAGAGUUGGUCUCUCUGCACACAGUACUGAAGUACCUUCCUGAACAUUAUUGACUCUGACAUAUGGUUAAGUGGCCACCAAUUAUGCUGGUCCACUCACUGCUGGGUGUGCCAUAUCCUCUCCUCCAUUCUUAUGAGCAGACCUGGGAAACAGUGUUGUAUCCCCCAAAUUCAUUUGAAAGCAAAUAAAUAAGCAAAGAUAAAUAAAAUGCAGACAAAAACAAUAAAGCUAAGCAACAAAUCAAAACGCAACAAAAGAAAAAGAAACAAAACUGCCAGCACAAAACAAAACAUCACAGAAUUAAACAAAAUAAAAACAGUGAAAAUAGUAAUCAAAUGUCUGUCUAUAACUGUACUGCAUCACAAACAAAACAUCACAGAAUUAAACAAAAUAAAAACAGUGAAACUGAACUAAAAAAAAAACAACAAAAUAAUACUAAGAAGGCAAUCAUAUGUCUGCUUAUACCUGCAUUACAACAUAAAACACAAUAGAAGAAAACCGAACAAAAGCAGCAAAACGGAGCAAAACUAAAUGGCUGCCGUUGCAUCAUCCAAGUGGAUGCUGCACACUGCUGGUGGAUGUGGAGAUACCCCCUGACAAUGUAAAGCACUUUGAGUGCUUAGAAAAGCGCUAUAUAAAUGUAAGGAAUUAUAUAAUAUUGCACUCUACAAUAUUUCUAUGUAUAAAUCUCUGAUGGAGACUAUCAGCCAAUCACUAUGUGCAUAGUUAGUAAGCAUGCUGACAUCGUCCAUAACCCCACCAUUACUCUUAGCUUAAGACUUCUCUACUCCUUACUAAAAGUUUGUCUCAGAAGCUUUGUGAAUAGCUAAAAACGUUUACGUCUAUUUAGGAGAACCCUUAGUGUUAAGAUAAAAUGUUUUGUGAAUACGGGCCCUGAUGUCUGUCUUUACUUUACAAUGGAAAUAAAACAAAAGCUAAACCAAUUAAGCUAAACAACAAAACAGAACAAACAAAACCAGACAUAGAACAAAACUAAAUCAAACAACAGGACAGAAUUAAACAAAAUGAAACAAAUAUGGUAAUCAGAUGUCAGUCUACACCUGCACUACUAGUGUCGCGUAACACAGCCUGGCACUGCAGUUCAACAUCAAGGUAUUCUUGUACAACCAGUUGCUUCUUGAGAAAUCCUUGUCAUCAGCAUCAGUGUGACACCUAUAGUAAAUAUAAGUCCAUAAGUCCUGUGUUAUGAACAGCCAUUGUGUUGAGAAUAAAGGGAAACCCUCCCUUCAUUGAAAAGCAGGGCCAUUUUCUUCUUCCUGCUGAGAGUGAAGAGUGGCCAACUCACGUGACUGUCCAAACCUGAAGCAUGGAGCUGAUGUUUAGUCAGCUGAAAAACAUAAACAGAAGACGGAUAGCUGAUUGGAGGGAGGAAAAUGUGGGUGGUGAUGGACUCUCUGAAAACCACAGGAAACACCUGUGCCCACUUCACUGCGCUGCGCUCACAGGCAGGGGUCUGCAGUGUGACGUAGACCUGUAUUGUGCCUCAGUCCAGUCCUGGGACAAAGGUGUUUAUACUCAAUUAGUCAAAGCACACAGUAAUGGAACUGCUGUUUGUUGUUUAGCUUGUGAAGUCAACCGUCCUGAUGUUAUUGUUGAUGUUGGGUUGUUUGCAUGUGAUGUGGUAAUUCAUAAAGAGAACACCAUAGCAACCAAUUAGCACAUUAUAAACACACUUUUAGAACAUCAUAGCAAUAUACUAAAAUAAAAACCUAAGCCGCGUCCGAAAUCGCAUACUUCCAUACUAUAUAGUAGGCGAAAAACAGUAUGCGAAGCAAGUAGUAUGUCCGAAUUCUCAGUAUUCGAAAAACAGUAGGCGAGAUGUACCCGGAUGGCCUACUACUUCCGGCCGAAUUCCGUAGUAUGCAUAGGAUGGACACUUCUCUAUCCCAUGAGGCACCGGGAGAGGGCUCGUCAUACUCAUAUUCGAAAAUAACGGAAAAUCGGAGGAUCGUGACGCCGCUGUUUUGAAGUAGACUGAUGAACACAAUCUUGUUCUCAUCCACUGAUGAAACCCUAUUCACUGGAAAGCAUAAUUCAGCAAUCUGCUCUUGAAGAGCUGCACACGGUCGUCUGCUGUGACACAGCUGUGGUCCGUUUGUCCCGCACAUGCUCUUCUGUGCUGACUUCUGUGUUUUGGGGUUCCAGUGUAUCAUCGUCAUGAUCCUCCACAACUUCUGGAUCCGCAAUGUCCGCAUUCAGAAGACGGAGGUUGUGGAGCACUGCACAGCAUGCAUCAACAUCUGCACAAAGGCAGAACUCACUUCCAUGGCCUUGAAGAAGAAGAAGAUGGAGCACAGCUGGUCUUCAUCAUCUGAAGGCUCUCUCAACAAUGUUCUGUGCACGAGCAUCAUUGGUAUUGAAUCAAAGCUGUGCAGGAUUCUGUUCAGGCUCUCUGUCUGCUGUGAUGAGGCAGAUGAACACUCACACAAGGACACACACACCAUCUCCCAGGAUGUGUUUUCCUGCAGGUGGAUAGGCCUCCAGAGUUCUUCAGCACCCUGGCAUCAUACACAGACCCGGGAUACUCAACAAAGAUAUCAAGGUACUUCCCAUGGUGGUGACCUGCAGCUGAACAGAAUGAAACCACUUCCUGUUGAAAUAACAUUGGGCUUCACUUGCUGGAGGUUCAGUUUGUAUGUGACAGCAAUCUAUUGUUCCAGCUACCAGAAGAAAAGCUGCUUCCACUGCCUCCAGGUCAUCUGUGGUGGAGAAGGCAAUCAGCCUCCUCAAAAUCCCCAUGACAGACCUGACCUGCUCAUUCUGUGCACAAUGUUAUGCAGCUCUUGGAUGUCAAAGGCCAGUGACAGCAGUCUGUAUGAUGCUGUUCACAGUCCGUAAAUAUGUAGUUUUUGUUUUUUAGAAUAAAAUUUCAAUAGGUUACACAUUUUUUUGCUGAUAUAUCUAUAUCUAACUAUAUAUAUUUAUA